AAGAGAUGUGCCAAGUCACUGCCACCCAAGCGAAGCAGCCUGUCGAGGGGGUCCUUCUCCUCCGACUGGGGGGGGGGUGUGCUGGCUUCUCCAGUACAAGCUUGGGCAUUGGGAGCUUGCCUGACAUCCUUGGCUUCGGGCCAUGGCCCCCAAGGUUUAGCUCCACCUUCUCGAGGUGAGAAGGUCAGCUCGGCACUAGUUGCUCCCCCCAGUCAAAAAUCGAAGACCUCUUCGGUCUCUUCAUCAAGCUCCAUCUUGGAAGACCACCGGAUGGCCCACGACUUGCUCCGAGGCAUACUUCUUCCGACGGACGUCAAAAGGUUGGAGGGCCAGAGUUUAGACAUCCAAUAAAGACAUGCCAUUGAUUCUGUUAUCCAAAUAAGUUUCUUUGACCUUACUUCCCUUUUGCACACUUUGAUUUACUUGUUUUUGUAGCUUGGUUAUUAUAUCAUCCAUUUUACCAACUUCAUAAAGGCAGCA
This 480-nucleotide long non-coding RNA is filed under the name Elaeis guineensis (African oil palm). RNAcentral's name for it is "long non-coding RNA (EGUI_LNC050785)". The record is from RNAcentral. Lineage: Eukaryota; Viridiplantae; Streptophyta; Magnoliopsida; Arecales; Arecaceae.